Molecule: ribosomal RNA, 253 nt
Filed under: uncultured bacterium
Lineage: Bacteria
Description: partial 16S ribosomal RNA
Rfam family: Bacterial small subunit ribosomal RNA
Source: RNAcentral
UACGGAGGGUGCGAGCGUUGUCCGGAAUCACUGGGCGUAAAGGGCGCGUAGGCGGCCUGAUGAGUCGGGGGUGAAAUCCUGCGGCUUAACCGCAGGGCUGCCUUCUAAACUGUCAGGCUUGAGCACAGUAGAGGCAGGUGGAAUUCCCGGUGUAGCGGUGGAAUGCGUAGAGAUCGGAAAGAACAUCAGUGGCGAAGGCGGCCUGCUGGGCUGUUGCUGACGCUGAGGCGCGACAGCGUGGGGAGCAAACAGG